This 684-nucleotide long non-coding RNA is filed under the name Meleagris gallopavo (turkey). Its description in RNAcentral is "lncRNA (ENSMGAG00000022661.1)". Lineage: Eukaryota; Metazoa; Chordata; Aves; Galliformes; Phasianidae. The record is from RNAcentral.
AAUCUAAAUCCAAAAGUAUUAUUUUUUUUCAGGCUAAGCAUGAGUUUCUUUCAUUUUUCAGUCCUGAGCCAAGUCUUUACUCUCUGAAGAUGUCAUUAAAACCACCUCAAAGUCUCUCUGCUUCACACUGUGAUUUUCAGGAAUUGCUUAAAGAUUCAUCCUUCUCCUGAGGGACAGAGCACGGAGGAGGAUCUGAAUUUGUUCAAGGUGGUAGCUGUUAUCCAAGACCAGUAAGGACCUGAUGGCAGCAAGAAUGUCGAGAUACCUAUAGCCAUGCAGAGCUGGAAUAAGUUUAUGGUGUAUAGCUUAAUUGUAUCUCAUUUGAUGGAAGAACUGGAUGGAAAAGCAAGACAUUAGCGUCUUCCAAUUCGAUGGGAUUUUAUAUAAUAGAGCAUUGAUUCCAUGCUAACUUUCAUGUUUAUUACUGACUUCACUGCUGUGAAAUCAGCAAAGGUUAACUGUCUGGACAGCUGUGAGUCAAGCCUUCAAGCCAUGCUGCUUUAUCUGAUUGGUCUCAGACUUGAUCUGGCACAUGAAAGGAAAUGUGAGGAAGUUUCAAGCAGGGAUCAUUUUGCAAGUCCAGAGCUGAGGGUGAGGUCAAGUUCACUCACAUUUUUGGAGUAUCACAUUUCAAACAUAAAGUGCCAUGCAUAUAGCAUGAGGGUUGGUGGAGCAAUGGUUUAA